This 317-nucleotide unclassified non-coding RNA is filed under the name Melaleuca bracteata. Lineage: Eukaryota; Viridiplantae; Streptophyta; Magnoliopsida; Myrtales; Myrtaceae. The record is from RNAcentral.
UCUUUCCCAGGAUAYUCCGAGAAACGACCUCAAACGCCUUUGGCAUUUGGACCACGGUGUCGGGCUCGGAAAGAGCUUUCCGAAAAGUACUCACGGGCCCCGUGAGUCCAUCGGGAUCGAAAGUUAGGCACGUAAACGCGGAGACGCGCGGAUUACUGAUAAAUUCUAUUUCUCGUAUUUCGUCGCAUGUAAGUAGUAUUCCAUCAAUUGCUCGGAAAUUGGGCGACGGGUCCUUAAAAUCCGGAAGUUUGAAAGCUCUGGACUUUUCUCGAGAAUAGAAAGUGAUUCGUUUUAAGUAAAUUUUCAAAUGCGGCCAC